GGCAGGAGGAUGAGGUGGUGGCUAUAGGGCAAGUUCCUGACCGCGACACCAGGCCCCCAGCUACGGGUGCAGUAGACCAAGGUUCUUUGAAUCCUGAUGAGCAGAAAAGCAGUGGUGCUCACUCCUGGCUGAGCGCCGAGGCAGCGGAUGGUGAACAGCCCGUGGAGCUAUUCAGCAAGUUCUUGAACAGGUGCCCUGGUUCCCCGGACAGGUAAUCUCCGGAGGGUCUGAUUCAUCCCGGGGACAACGCUGAAGCUGCCUUGGGGCGCUCCUGAGAAUGAAGCGUGUGCGAAACGCGCCUCACACAGGGCCUGGCGCGGGGGCUCGGUCCAGGACGGUUUGGAGAAUGAAGCAUUUACGGCAGAAGCGGGGGCGCCUGGGUGGCUCGAUCCGCGAAGCGUCCGACUGGUCUCAGCUCGGGUCUUGACUGAGCUCGGCGGACAGUAUGCCGGGGUCACUCGCCCGCUGCCCGCCCCCCCUCCUCGCUUGCUCUCAGAUCAGUCCCAGUAAAAGCCACCAUCACACACGUCCUGACCACCUGGGUACCCUCAAACUCGCACCCAGGGGCCCCAUCUGGGCCCUGCCCCAGCCCCCUCCCUCAGCCUCCCUGGCCCAGGACGCCCCCCCCUUCCCCGGCCUCACCAGAGCACACUCGGCUCCCUCCCAACUCGCGCCGCCGGAGUCCGAUCCGAUCGGAGCGCCCAGCACGGCACGCCCUCUGCCACCCUGGCCGGACUGCGGUUUCUUCGGGGCCACACGGUGACGGACCCGCUCCGACCGCCAGCACAGCACGAAGCAUGCAGCAGAGCUGGACGCACGGGUUCCGGUGUCCGCAAGCAGUGGAAGCCUAGUGUGCUACGGUGCCUCUGUGUGGCAGAGCAUUUAAAAAUUUCCAGUUUCCCCCAAAAGUAUCCUUUUUUAACCUGUACAGUUUGUUUCUUGUCACUUCUGGGCCUCGGGCUCAUUUGCAUGGCUGGGUAGGCUGCCCCGUCUCUAUGUGGGUCACCUGGAGACCUUCGCAGGAGAGGCGGCAGCAGAAACGAGCCGGCAGGAGGCGAGAAGCAGAACAAGGUCCUGCUUUCACGUAACAGGGGGAAACGGGCAGGGAAACGGUCCCCAGUGAAUGGGACUAGUCCUUGCUGGAGGCGGAGCAGGGAGGCGCCGAGGGCUCGGGAGCUCUAGAACUACCCGGUCAGAAAUACCAACUCUCUACCGAGAAGAUGAGCUUCAAUAGCACACCUUAAUUCAUGCCUUUUCUCCGUGGAGAGGAGCUUCCCCGUUUCCCCGCUUUGCUACAGGACUCUGAUCCGUGCUCCGUGCUGUCACCUCCUUAGGCCACUGCCACCGACGGGACCUGCGAACCCCUCCCCAUGUCUGGCCCAUUCUGCCAAGACAUCGUUGCUCACCCAGGCCGGAC
Long non-coding RNA from Mustela lutreola (European mink), 1417 nucleotides. RefSeq lists it as uncharacterized. Lineage: Eukaryota; Metazoa; Chordata; Mammalia; Carnivora; Mustelidae. The transcript has 4 exons. The record is from RefSeq and is a predicted model, not a curated record.